Molecule: small nucleolar RNA, 107 nt
Organism: Gastrolobium bilobum
Lineage: Eukaryota; Viridiplantae; Streptophyta; Magnoliopsida; Fabales; Fabaceae
Source: RefSeq, a predicted model, not a curated record
AAGCCAUGUUGUGGACACUUCCUUAGAAGUCCUUUGAAUCGUUCCCAAGCCUCGUACAGAGAUUCGCUUUCUUUUUGUUCAAAGGAGGUGAUUUCCCCUUAGAGUCU